GACGAACGCUGGCGGCGUGCUUAACACAUGCAAGUCGAACGGAAAGGCCCUGCUUUUGUGGGGUGCUCGAGUGGCGAACGGGUGAGUAACACGUGAGUAACCUGCCCUUGACUUUGGGAUAACUUCAGGAAACUGGGGCUAAUACCGGAUAGGAGCUCCUGCUGCAUGGUGGGGGUUGGAAAGUUUCGGCGGUUGGGGAUGGACUCGCGGCUUAUCCGCUUGUUGGUGGGGUAGUGGCUUACCAAGGCUUUGACGGGUAGCCGGCCUGAGAGGGUGACCGGACACAUUGGGACUGAGAUACGGCCCAGACUCCUACGGGAGGCAGCAGUGGGGAAUAUUGCACAAUGGGAGGAAGCCUGAUGCAGCAACGCCGCGUGCGGGAUGACGGCCUUAGGGUUGUAAACCGCUUUCGCCUGUGACGAAGCGUGAGUGACGGUAAUGGGUAAAGAAGCACCGGCUAACUACGUG
RNAcentral lists this ribosomal RNA (468 nucleotides) under uncultured bacterium. Its description in RNAcentral is "partial 16S ribosomal RNA". It matches the Rfam family "Bacterial small subunit ribosomal RNA", at positions 28 to 507 of the family's 1533-position model. The record is from RNAcentral.